GGGGAUUUAGCUCAGUGGCAUAAGCACCUGCCUUGCAAGCAGGAAGUCAUGAGUUCGAUCCCUG
This 64-nucleotide transfer RNA is filed under the name Cavia porcellus (domestic guinea pig). It matches the Rfam family "tRNA", at positions 1 to 62 of the family's 71-position model. From Rfam's summary of the family: Transfer RNA (tRNA) molecules are approximately 80 nucleotides in length. Their secondary structure includes four short double-helical elements and three loops (D, anti-codon, and T loops). Lineage: Eukaryota; Metazoa; Chordata; Mammalia; Rodentia; Caviidae. The record is from Rfam by way of RNAcentral.